AUGCGCCUGGUCAUCCUGGUCAAGCGUGUGGCAACAGACAAGCUCGUAUUUGGAACUGGGAUCACUUUUUCAGUUGAGCCAAGUAAUCAAGAAGAAUCUGCCCCAGAAGUCAUUCUGCUUAAAUCAAAGGAAACCAAACAAUAUGACAACAAACUAAACAUGGCUUGUUUGGCAAGGACUUUCUACCCUAAGAAUAUCAGCCUUUAUGUGCCCAAAAGUGACACCGUAUAUGAUCUGAAGGCACCUCUUGUCACAUCUGAGGGAAUGUAUAGUACCAUGAAAGCAGUUAGAGUGGAACCAGAUGCAAAGGUGAUCUGCAAGGCUAUGCACAAGGGGAACAGGACUACAGCCAGCAUCAUUCUGCCAGAAGAGAAAACUGAAGAAUUUGAAAGAGUUAAUGCUUGCAACGUUACAGAUGCCUCUACAAAAGAUGUCAAAAUGGAGAAAGUGAAUAUGCUGUUCAUGACUGUUUUGGGUUUGAGAGUCCUGCUGGCAAAAACCAUCACCUUCAGUGUAAUCCUGAGUAUCAAGCUGUUUACUAGUUCAGAGCAUCUCAGGUUCUAUCAGAAGUCUUCUGCUGAAUUUUUCAAGUGGCAGAGCACAAAGUCUGGAUAA
Molecule: non-coding RNA, 615 nt
Organism: Cariama cristata (Red-legged seriema)
Lineage: Eukaryota; Metazoa; Chordata; Aves; Cariamiformes; Cariamidae
Source: the annotation of a RefSeq genome assembly